GACGAACGCUGGCGGUGUGCUUAACACAUGCAAGUCGAACGGUGAAGCGCCAUCCUUUUUGGCGGGCGGGGAUGGGUGGCGAACGGGGGAGUAACACGAGAGGAACCUGCUCCUUCCUGCUGGAUAACCGCAUGAAAGUGAGGCUAAUACGGGAUACGACGUGCCUGUGGCAGCAUGGGUCUGGGAAAGAUUUUGUUUCGGUGUGGGAUGGGCUCGCGGCCUAUCUGGUUGUUGGUGGGGGGACGGCCUAACAAGGCGGUGAGGGGUAGCCGUGAUGAGAGGGUCGGCGGUAAUACAGGUGCUGCACGGUGGAGACGACUCCGACAGGCAGCAGCGGUGAAGAAUAGUGCACGAGGGGAGCAAGGCUGAUGCAGCGCCGCCGCGUGGGGGAUGGCGGCCGGCGGGUUGUGAACCUCUGUCGCGAGAGAAGCAGAGCUGCCUCGUUUGUGGGUGGGUUGACGGUAGCUAGAUAAGAAGCGCCGGCUAACUACGUG
Molecule: ribosomal RNA, 494 nt
Filed under: uncultured bacterium
Lineage: Bacteria
Description: partial 16S ribosomal RNA
Rfam family: Bacterial small subunit ribosomal RNA
Source: RNAcentral